Molecule: transfer RNA, 95 nt
Filed under: Syntrophomonadaceae bacterium
Lineage: Bacteria; Bacillati; Bacillota; Clostridia; Eubacteriales; Syntrophomonadaceae
Description: tRNA-Ser
Rfam family: tRNA
About the family: Transfer RNA (tRNA) molecules are approximately 80 nucleotides in length. Their secondary structure includes four short double-helical elements and three loops (D, anti-codon, and T loops).
Source: RNAcentral
GGAGAGAUGGCUGAGUCUGGUUUAAGGCGCACGACUCGAAAUCGUGUGAGCCGUUAGCAGCGGCUCCGUGGGUUCGAAUCCCACUCUCUCCGCCA